GACGAACGCUGGCGGCAUGCCUAACACAUGCAAGUCUAGGGGUAGCAAUACCACUGGCGCACGGGUGAGUAACACGUAGGUUAUCUGCCCCCAUCACAGACAUAACCCCGGGAAACCGGGGCUAAUAUCUGAUGAGGUCGCGAGAUCAAAGCUUCGGCGGAUGGGGAUGAGCCUGCGGCUGAUUAGCUAGUUGGUGAGGUAAUGGCUCACCAAGGCGACGAUCAGUAGCUGGUCUGAGAGGACGAACAGCCACACUGGAACUGAGACACGGUCCAGACUCCUACGGGAGGCAGCAGUGAGGAAUAUUGGUCAAUGGGAGCAAUCCUGAACCAGCAAUGCCGCGUGUGGGAUGACAGGGCUUCGCCUUGUAAACCACUGUCGGACGGGACGAAAGGAGGCCUCGGGGCCCUCUGGGACGGUACCGUCAAAGGAAGGGUCGGCUAACUACGUGCCAGCAGCCGCGGUAAU
This 468-nucleotide ribosomal RNA is filed under the name uncultured bacterium. Its description in RNAcentral is "bacterial SSU rRNA". It matches the Rfam family "Bacterial small subunit ribosomal RNA", at positions 28 to 524 of the family's 1533-position model. The record is from RNAcentral.